CCCUACGGGGUGCACCAGGCAAGAGCCGCUCAAAGCCGAGCUGGAAUUGAUCGAUGCCAAGAUGAAGCUUGCCCUCCUCGAUGCAGAGAGCCGGGACGCCACGCAACAGGAGCUCGAUCUCAUCCGAAAGAUUGCGGCACAGGAAAAGGUCAUUGCCUCGGAGCAGGCGUUGACCGGAUUCGGUGCCGGGUAUUCCCUGGCCUUCGAGGAAUACCGAAAGAACAUGACCACCAACGCGGACCUGGGUGAAUCCUUCUUUGAUCUCACGGUGGAGGGCUUCCACGGGGUGGGAGACGCCAUCAAGCAGGCGGUCAUGGGCACGGAGGACCUGGGGGACGCAUUUGAAAACCUCUUCGCCCGCAUCGCGGAACGGGCCGCCGAUCUUCUCAUGGACCAGGCGAUUCAGGCACUCAUUGGAGGCAUGUCCGGAGGGUCGACCGGUGUCCUUGGCGGUAUCCUGGGAGGGAUCGGGAUUGGCGGGGGAGC
RNAcentral lists this ribosomal RNA (486 nucleotides) under uncultured prokaryote. RNAcentral's name for it is "partial 16S ribosomal RNA". The record is from RNAcentral.